Molecule: long non-coding RNA, 418 nt
Filed under: Struthio camelus australis
Lineage: Eukaryota; Metazoa; Chordata; Aves; Struthioniformes; Struthionidae
Description: lncRNA (ENSSCUG00000016671.1)
Source: RNAcentral
AUGAGAAUUCCUAAGAUUUCUGUACAGCCUAGUAAAAUGGAAAGAACAUUACAUGAUCAAGCAAGCAAAAGAAACACUGUCUCUUCUCACCAUAGCAUUUCAUCAAAAUUCAUUUCCCCUAUGAUGGCUGUCAAGAAUCAAUUCCAAGAGCUGAUCCACAAGAUACUAUGGACUUGGUUGAUUAACCUUCUAACAGCUGACCAAAAGGAUGUGAAUGUCUCCCUGAGAUCAGACAGACCAGCAUGGGGGAAGUGUAUAUGUGGCUCAUCCCGAUAGAGAAUAUAAAACGUCAACAACUAACAAGGAAAUUUCAAAGAGAGCAACGGACUUGAGCUGGCAUCAACCCACAUAUUCCUUCCCAGUGACUGGGGAGGCCCAGCAUCGUGAUAGUGAGCAUAUUUGAGACUGGUAAUGGCAA